GAGUUUGAUCGUGGCUCAGAUUGAACGCUGGCGGCAUGCCUUACACAUGCAAGUCGAACGGCAGCACGGGAGCUUGCUCCUGGUGGCGAGUGGCGAACGGGUGAGUAAUGCAUCGGAACGUAUCCUGGAGUGGGGGAUAACGUAGCGAAAGUUACGCUAAUACCGCAUAUUCUGUGAGCAGGAAAGCGGGGGACCUUCGGGCCUCGCGCUCUUGGAGCGGCCGAUGUCGGAUUAGCUAGUUGGUGAGGUAAAGGCUCACCAAGGCGACGAUCCGUAGCAGGUCUGAGAGGAUGAUCUGCCACACUGGAACUGAGACACGGUCCAGACUCCUACGGGAGGCAGCAGUGGGAAUUUUGGACAAUGGGGGCAACCCUGAUCCAGCCAAUGCCGCGUGAGUGAAGAAGGCCUCGGUUGGUAAGUAC
Molecule: ribosomal RNA, 422 nt
Filed under: bacterium enrichment culture clone ALO1_GLFRUDD03GE2F5
Lineage: Bacteria
Description: bacterial SSU rRNA
Rfam family: Bacterial small subunit ribosomal RNA
Source: RNAcentral